GAGGGUGUAGCUCAAGUGGUAGAGCGCAUGCUUAGCAUGCACGAAGUCCUGGGUUCAGUCCCCAGUACCUCCA
Molecule: transfer RNA, 73 nt
Filed under: Camelus bactrianus (Bactrian camel)
Lineage: Eukaryota; Metazoa; Chordata; Mammalia; Artiodactyla; Camelidae
Also listed under: 3 other names
Rfam family: tRNA
About the family: Transfer RNA (tRNA) molecules are approximately 80 nucleotides in length. Their secondary structure includes four short double-helical elements and three loops (D, anti-codon, and T loops).
Source: Rfam by way of RNAcentral